This 420-nucleotide ribosomal RNA is filed under the name bacterium. Its description in RNAcentral is "partial 16S ribosomal RNA". It matches the Rfam family "Bacterial small subunit ribosomal RNA", at positions 355 to 776 of the family's 1533-position model. The record is from RNAcentral.
UGGGGGAUAUAGCACAAUGGGCGAAAGCCUGAUGCAGCGACGCCGCGUGGGGGAUGAAGGCUUUCGGGUUGUAAACCUCUUUCGCUAUCGAACAAGGCCCGCUUAGGGUGGGUUGAGGGUAGGUGGAGAAGAAGCGCCGGCUAACUACGUGCCAGCAGCCGCGGUAAUACGUAGGGCGCGAGCGUUGUCCGGAAUUAUUGGGCGUAAAGGGCUUGUAGGCGGCUUGUUGCGCCUGCUGUGAAAACGCGGGGCUUAACUUCGAGCGUGCAGUGGGUACGGGCAGGCUUGAGUGUGGUAGGGGUGACUGGAAUUCCAGGUGUAGCGGUUGAAUGCGCAGAUAUCUGGAGGAACACCGAUGGCGAAGGCAGGUCACUGGGCCAUUACUGACGCUGAGGAGCGAAAGGAUGGGUAGCGAACAGG